RNAcentral lists this ribosomal RNA (504 nucleotides) under uncultured bacterium. Its description in RNAcentral is "bacterial SSU rRNA". It matches the Rfam family "Bacterial small subunit ribosomal RNA", at positions 29 to 523 of the family's 1533-position model. The record is from RNAcentral.
AACGAACGCUGGCGGCGCGCCUAAUACAUGCAAGUCGAGCGAGAAGGUGUAGCAAUACACUUGUAAAGCGGCGAACGGGUGAGGAAUGCAUGGGUAACCUACCCUCGAGUGGGGAAUAACUAGCCGAAAGGUUAGCUAAUACCGCAUACGUUUCCGGAACUUCGGUUUCGGAAAGAAAGCAAUACCGUGGGUAUUGCGCUCCUGGAUGGGCUCAUGUCCUAUCAGCUUGUUGGUGAGGUAACGGCUCACCAAGGCUUCGACGGGUAGCUGGUCUGAGAGGACGAUCAGCCACACUGGCACUGCGACACGGGCCAGACUCCUACGGGAGGCAGCAGUAAGGAAUAUUGCGCAAUGGACGAAAGUCUGACGCAGCGACGCCGCGUGGGGGAUGAAGGUCUUCGGAUUGUAAACCCCCUUUUCGGGAGGGGAAGAUGGAGUGGGUAACCACUUGGACGGUACCUCCAGAAGCAGCCACGGCUAACUUCGUGCCAGCAGCCGCGGUAA